CAGCCGCCGCGGUAAUACGCAGGGGGCGAGCGUUGUCCGGAAUUAUUGGGCGUAAAGCGCGCGCAGGCGGUCCCUUAAGUCUGAUGUGAAAGCCCACGGCUCAACCGUGGAGAGUCAUUGGAAACUGGGGGACUUGAGUGCAGAAGAGGAGAGCGGAAUUCCACGUGUAGCGGUGAAAUGCGAAGAGAUGUGGAGGAACACCAGUGGCGAAGGCGGCUCUCUGGUCUGUAACUGACGCUGAGGCGCGAAAGCGUGGGGAGCAAACAGGAUUAGAUACCCUGGUAGUCCACGCCGUAAACGAUGAGUGCUAAGUGUUAGAGGGGUUAAACCCUUUAGUGCUGUAGCUAACGCGUUAAGCACUCCGCCUGGGGAGUACGGCCGCAAGGCUGAAACUUAAAGGAAUUGGCGGG
This 410-nucleotide ribosomal RNA is filed under the name uncultured microorganism. RNAcentral describes it as "bacterial SSU rRNA". It matches the Rfam family "Bacterial small subunit ribosomal RNA", at positions 509 to 917 of the family's 1533-position model. The record is from RNAcentral.